ACGGAGUCAACUUCGCUUUUGUUUUUUUUGUGAUACGGUUAGCAUCUCGAAACGUCGAGCAACGUUUGAUGAUUUAGCUAUUUGGACAAGUCGAGUUACGGAGUCAACUUUGCUGGUGUAUUUUCAUGGAACUACAUUUGGAAUUGUACAACGUGGAGCAG
Ixodes scapularis (black-legged tick) is the source of this 161-nucleotide long non-coding RNA. RefSeq lists it as uncharacterized. The transcript is spliced from 3 exons. Lineage: Eukaryota; Metazoa; Arthropoda; Arachnida; Ixodida; Ixodidae. The record is from RefSeq and is a predicted model, not a curated record.